Molecule: microRNA precursor, 145 nt
Filed under: Olea europaea subsp. europaea
Lineage: Eukaryota; Viridiplantae; Streptophyta; Magnoliopsida; Lamiales; Oleaceae
Source: RNAcentral
AGCCCCAUUAAAUAUCUCUGCACUUCCCUUCUUUGUACAAGUUUCUUCAUUUUCAUAUCCAGUAUGCACAAUGGGGUUUGAUACUGGAUAUGAAAAUGAAGGAGCUUGUACAAAGAGGGGAAGUGUAGGGAGAUGCGAUGGGGCU